CAGUAGCCGCGGGAAUACGUAGGUGGCAAGCGUUGUCCGGAAUUAUUGGGCGUAAAGGGCUCGCAGGCGGUUUCUUAAGUCUGAUGUGAAAGCCCCCGGCUCAACCGGGGAGGGUCAUUGGAAACUGGGAAACUUGAGUGCAGAAGAGGAGAGUGGAAUUCCACGUGUAGCGGUGAAAUGCGUAGAGAUGUGGAGGAACACCAGUGGCGAAGGCGACUCUUUGGUCUGUAACUGACGCUGAGGAGCGAAAGCGUGGGGAGCGAACAGGAUUAGAUACCCCAGUAGUCCCUGUCUCUUAUAC
This 301-nucleotide ribosomal RNA is filed under the name uncultured bacterium. RNAcentral describes it as "partial 16S ribosomal RNA". It matches the Rfam family "Bacterial small subunit ribosomal RNA", at positions 509 to 807 of the family's 1533-position model. The record is from RNAcentral.